This 429-nucleotide ribosomal RNA is filed under the name bacterium. Its description in RNAcentral is "partial 16S ribosomal RNA". It matches the Rfam family "Bacterial small subunit ribosomal RNA", at positions 355 to 776 of the family's 1533-position model. The record is from RNAcentral.
UAGGGAAUCUUCCACAAUGGACGCAAGUCUGAUGGAGCAACGCCGCGUGAGUGAAGAAGGUUUUCGGAUCGUAAAGCUCUGUUGUUGGUGAAGACGGAUAGAGGCAGUAACUGGUCUUUAUUUGACGGUAAUCAACCAGAAAGUCACGGCUAACUACGUGCCAGCAGCCGCGGUAAUACGUAGGUGGCAAGCGUUGUCCGGAUUUAUUGGGCGUAAAGCGAGCGCAGGCGGAAUGAUAAGUCUGAUGUGAAAGCCCACGGCUCAACCGUGGAACUGCAUCGGAAACUGUCAUUCUUGAGUGCAGAAGAGGAGAGUGGAAUUCCAUGUGUAGCGGUGGAAUGCGUAGAUAUAUGGAAGAACACCAGUGGCGAAGGCGGCUCUCUGGUCUGCAACUGACGCUGAGGCUCGAAAGCAUGGGUAGCGAACAGG